GAUGGUGAUGAUGGUGAUGCUUAACAGAUCUGUAUAAGUAUUGAGGCGAGUCCGAGUGAGGAAACUUUUCCCGCCCGAUGGGUUAUCGAACAUGUCUUGGGACGCUGAGGAGUCUCGGAGCUCGUGGCAGGACAUGGUUCAGCCAGCUGUAUCCCGGUGAUAGGCUCCUGGAACCUUGGUUAUCUCAUGGAUGGCUCUUUCUAGCCGGGUUCUGGAAACAAGGGCAUGGCUUAUUUCCACCAAUCGCUGAUGGUACUAAGCAGCGCCACCGCGGCUUACGGGAUACACAUUGCUCACGGCCAUAUAUUGGAAUA
This 314-nucleotide small RNA is filed under the name Histoplasma capsulatum var. duboisii H88. RNAcentral's name for it is "Histoplasma capsulatum H88 hypothetical RNA". Lineage: Eukaryota; Fungi; Ascomycota; Eurotiomycetes; Onygenales; Ajellomycetaceae. The record is from RNAcentral.